This 277-nucleotide long non-coding RNA is filed under the name Pelobates cultripes (western spadefoot toad). Lineage: Eukaryota; Metazoa; Chordata; Amphibia; Anura; Pelobatidae. The record is from RNAcentral.
CCACCAUCUAGCCCCCCUGGCCCCCUCAUGCCUCCAUAAAUAUAGCAAAAUCUUACUGUACUCAAGCCUGAAGCUGUAGAUAUGCAUGCUGUUAGACUCAGACAAACAAGCAGUCUGCUGACAUCAUCAGAAGUGGUAGCCUGAUCCAAUCACAAUGCUUCCCCAUAGGAUUGGCUGAGACUGACAGGGAGGCAGAUCAGGGGCAGAGCCAGCAUGAUUCAAACACAGCCCUGGCCAAUCAGCAUCUCCUCAUAGAGAUGAAUUGAAUCAAUGAAUC